RNAcentral lists this ribosomal RNA (403 nucleotides) under Fusobacteriota bacterium. Its description in RNAcentral is "Fusobacteria bacterium partial 16S ribosomal RNA". It matches the Rfam family "Bacterial small subunit ribosomal RNA", at positions 355 to 776 of the family's 1533-position model. Lineage: Bacteria; Fusobacteriati; Fusobacteriota. The record is from RNAcentral.
UGGGGAAUAUUGCACAAUGGGGGAAACCCUGAUGCAGCGACGCCGCGUGAGCGAAGAAGGUUUUCGAAUCGUAAAGCUCUGUCCUAUGGGAAGAUAAUGACGGUACCAUAGGAGGAAGCCCCGGCUAACUACGUGCCAGCAGCCGCGGUAAUACGUAGGGGGCAAGCGUUGUCCGGAAUCACUGGGCGUAAAGGGUUCGCAGGCGGAAAUGCAAGUCAGUUGUGAAAGGCAGAGGCUCAACCUCUGUAAGCAAUUGAAACUGUAUUUCUUGAGAGGUGGAGAGGGAAGUGGAAUUCCUAGUGUAGCGGUGAAAUGCGUAGAUAUUAAGAAGAAUACCGGGGGCGAAGGCGACUUGCUGGACACAAACUGACGCUGAGGAACGAAAGCGUGGGUAGAAAACAGG